UACGAAGGGGGCUAGCGUUGUUCGGAAUUACUGGGCGUAAAGCGCACGUAGGCGGGUCGUUAAGUCAGGGGUGAAAUCCCAGAGCUCAACUCUGGAACUGCCUUUGAUACUGGCGACCUAGAGUUCGGAAGAGGUUAGUGGAAUUCCCAGUGUAGAGGUGAAAUUCGUAGAUAUUGGGAAGAACACCAGUGGCGAAGGCGGCUAACUGGUCCGAUACUGACGCUGAGGUGCGAAAGCGUGGGGAGCAAACAG
Molecule: ribosomal RNA, 252 nt
Filed under: uncultured bacterium
Lineage: Bacteria
Description: partial 16S ribosomal RNA
Rfam family: Bacterial small subunit ribosomal RNA
Source: RNAcentral